This 274-nucleotide ribosomal RNA is filed under the name uncultured bacterium. RNAcentral describes it as "partial 16S ribosomal RNA". It matches the Rfam family "Bacterial small subunit ribosomal RNA", at positions 523 to 796 of the family's 1533-position model. The record is from RNAcentral.
AUACGGAGGGUGCAAGCGUUGUCCGGAUUUAUUGGGUUUAAAGGGUGCGUAGGCGGCCCGUUAAGUCAGUGGUGAAAGGUAUCAGCUUAACUGAUGAAGUGCCAUUGAAACUAGCGGGCUUGAGUACAGACGAGGUAGGCGGAAUUUAUGGUGUAGCGGUGAAAUGCAUAGAUACCAUAAAGAACACCGAUAGCGAAGGCAGCUUACUAGACUGAGUCUGACGCUGAGGCACGAAAGCGUGGGGAGCAAACAGGAUUAGAUACCCCAGUAGUCC